This 253-nucleotide ribosomal RNA is filed under the name uncultured bacterium. RNAcentral describes it as "partial 16S ribosomal RNA". It matches the Rfam family "Bacterial small subunit ribosomal RNA", at positions 524 to 776 of the family's 1533-position model. The record is from RNAcentral.
UACGGGGGGGGCAAGCGUUGUUCGGAAUUACUGGGCGUAAAGGGCGCGUAGGCGGCCUUCUAAGUCAGACGUGAAAUCCCUCGGCUCAACCGAGGAACUGCGUCUGAUACUGGAAGGCUUGAAUCCGGGAGAGGGAUGUGGAAUUCCAGGUGUAGCGGUGAAAUGCGUAGAUAUCUGGAGGAACACCUGUGGCGAAAGCGGCGCACUGGACCACAACUGACGCUGAGGCGCGAAAGCUAGGGGAGCAAACAAG